AUACGUAGGGGGCGAGCGUUGUCCGGAAUUAUUGGGCGUAAAGGGUUCGCAGGCGGUCUGAUAAGUCAGAUGUGAAAGGCAAUGGCUCAACCAUUGUAAGCAUUUGAAACUGUCAGACUUGAGUUAAGGAGAGGAAAGUGGAAUUCCUAGUGUAGCGGUGAAAUGCGUAGAUAUUAGGAGGAAUACCAGUGGCGAAGGCGACUUUCUGGACUUAUACUGACGCUGAGGAACGAAAGCGUGGGGAGCAAACAGGAUUAGGUACCCUGGUAGUCCACGCCGUAAACGAUGAGUGCUAGGUGUUGGGGGUCAAACCUCGGUGCCGCAGCUAACGCAUUAAGCACUCCGCCUGGGGAGUACGUACGCAAGUAUGAAACUCAAAUGAAUUGACGGGG
Molecule: ribosomal RNA, 392 nt
Filed under: uncultured bacterium
Lineage: Bacteria
Description: partial 16S ribosomal RNA
Rfam family: Bacterial small subunit ribosomal RNA
Source: RNAcentral